CUGACACAGGUGCUGCAUGGCGUGUCGUCAGCUCGUGUCGUGAGAUGUUGGGUUAAGUCCGUACGAGCGCAACCCUUGUCCUUAGUUACCAGCACGUUAUGGUGGGCACUCUAAGGAGACUGCCGGUGACAAACCGGAGGAAGGUGGGGAUGACGUCAAGUCAUCAUGGCCCUUACGGCCUGGGCUACACACGUGCUACAAUGGUCGGUACAAAGGGUUGCCAAGCCGCGAGGUGGAGCUAAUCCCAUAAAACCGAUCGUAGUCCGGAUCGCAGUCUGCAACUCGACUGCGUGAAGUCGGAAUCGCUAGUAAUCGUGAAUCAGAAUGUCACGGUGAAUACGUUCCCGGGCCUU
RNAcentral lists this ribosomal RNA (353 nucleotides) under uncultured Pseudomonas sp. RNAcentral's name for it is "bacterial SSU rRNA". It matches the Rfam family "Bacterial small subunit ribosomal RNA", at positions 1029 to 1382 of the family's 1533-position model. Lineage: Bacteria; Pseudomonadati; Pseudomonadota; Gammaproteobacteria; Pseudomonadales; Pseudomonadaceae. The record is from RNAcentral.